This 736-nucleotide long non-coding RNA is filed under the name Fragaria vesca (wild strawberry). Its description in RNAcentral is "long non-coding RNA (FVES_LNC002830)". Lineage: Eukaryota; Viridiplantae; Streptophyta; Magnoliopsida; Rosales; Rosaceae. The record is from RNAcentral.
GUCAUCUCACUCACAAGCUCCCUUGCCCGACUCAGUUCCUCAUUCUUACACAAUGCCUUCAACAACAAGUUAUAAGUAAUCAAAUUCGGCCUACACCCCAACUCGUCCAUACAAGUAAUCAUCUUUAUCCCAGCUUCCACAUUAUUCUGGUUACACAACCCAUUUAUAUACACAUUGUAAGUAUAAACAUCAGGAACCAAACCCAACACAAGCAACUCAUCAAACACCUUAUCUGCAUUCUUGUAAUCCCCAUUUGCGAUAACACCAUACAAAACCAUGGUAUAACACACAAUAUCAGGCUUCAUCCCCUCGACUUUCAUCUUACACAAAACUCUCAAAGCAUCCAAACCCUUCCCCUGUUUCACCAAACACCUAAUCACAUUGGAAUAGUCCAACAUCCCAGGACAAAACCCAACCUUCUUCAUCUCCUCCACAAAACCCACAACCUCCAAACCACCUACACCUUUUUGCUCACACAAUGAUGACAAUACCAAAGAGCAAAUCUUCACAUCCAAAUCAUACCCAUUACUAAUCAUGCAUUUCAUUAUCUCAAUAGCAUACCCAACACUUCCAAUUCUACACAAUGCAGAGAUCAAAAUCCGAAAGCUCGACUCUUCAAGCCUAAUUCCCAUUGCUCUGCUGUUCAUCAAAACCUGGGGCACCAUUUUAAGACCUUCACUACUUCCACAAAGCACAUAUAGCAGAGAGUUGAGUGAGACCGCAGAAGGGUCACAUC